This 2331-nucleotide ribosomal RNA is filed under the name Escherichia coli. RNAcentral's name for it is "bacterial LSU rRNA". It matches the Rfam family "Bacterial large subunit ribosomal RNA", at positions 1 to 2045 of the family's 2925-position model. The record is from RNAcentral. Lineage: Bacteria; Pseudomonadati; Pseudomonadota; Gammaproteobacteria; Enterobacterales; Enterobacteriaceae.
UUAAGCGACUAAGCGUACACGGUGGAUGCCCUGGCAGUCAGAGGCGAUGAAGGACGUGCUAAUCUGCGAUAAGCGUCGGUAAGGUGAUAUGAACCGUUAUAACCGGCGAUUUCCGAAUGGGGAAACCCAGUGUGAUUCGUCACACUAUCAUUAACUGAAUCCAUAGGUUAAUGAGGCGAACCGGGGGAACUGAAACAUCUAAGUACCCCGAGGAAAAGAAAUCAACCGAGAUUCCCCCAGUAGCGGCGAGCGAACGGGGAGCAGCCCAGAGCCUGAAUCAGUGUGUGUGUUAGUGGAAGCGUCUGGAAAGGCGCGCGAUACAGGGUGACAGCCCCGUACACAAAAAUGCACAUACUGUGAGCUCGAUGAGUAGGGCGGGACACGUGGUAUCCUGUCUGAAUAUGGGGGGACCAUCCUCCAAGGCUAAAUACUCCUGACUGACCGAUAGUGAACCAGUACCGUGAGGGAAAGGCGAAAAGAACCCCGGCGAGGGGAGUGAAAAAGAACCUGAAACCGUGUACGUACAAGCAGUGGGAGCACGCUUAGGCGUGUGACUGCGUACCUUUUGUAUAAUGGGUCAGCGACUUAUAUUCUGUAGCAAGGUUAACCGAAUAGGGGAGCCGAAGGGAAACCGAGUCUUAACUGGGCGUUAAGUUGCAGGGUAUAGACCCGAAACCCGGUGAUCUAGCCAUGGGCAGGUUGAAGGUUGGGUAACACUAACUGGAGGACCGAACCGACUAAUGUUGAAAAAUUAGCGGAUGACUUGUGGCUGGGGGUGAAAGGCCAAUCAAACCGGGAGAUAGCUGGUUCUCCCCGAAAGCUAUUUAGGUAGCGCCUCGUGAAUUCAUCUCCGGGGGUAGAGCACUGUUUCGGCAAGGGGGUCAUCCCGACUUACCAACCCGAUGCAAACUGCGAAUACCGGAGAAUGUUAUCACGGGAGACACACGGCGGGUGCUAACGUCCGUCGUGAAGAGGGAAACAACCCAGACCGCCAGCUAAGGUCCCAAAGUCAUGGUUAAGUGGGAAACGAUGUGGGAAGGCCCAGACAGCCAGGAUGUUGGCUUAGAAGCAGCCAUCAUUUAAAGAAAGCGUAAUAGCUCACUGGUCGAGUCGGCCUGCGCGGAAGAUGUAACGGGGCUAAACCAUGCACCGAAGCUGCGGCAGCGACGCUUAUGCGUUGUUGGGUAGGGGAGCGUUCUGUAAGCCUGCGAAGGUGUGCUGUGAGGCAUGCUGGAGGUAUCAGAAGUGCGAAUGCUGACAUAAGUAACGAUAAAGCGGGUGAAAAGCCCGCUCGCCGGAAGACCAAGGGUUCCUGUCCAACGUUAAUCGGGGCAGGGUGAGUCGACCCCUAAGGCGAGGCCGAAAGGCGUAGUCGAUGGGAAACAGGUUAAUAUUCCUGUACUUGGUGUUACUGCGAAGGGGGGACGGAGAAGGCUAUGUUGGCCGGGCGACGGUUGUCCCGGUUUAAGCGUGUAGGCUGGUUUUCCAGGCAAAUCCGGAAAAUCAAGGCUGAGGCGUGAUGACGAGGCACUACGGUGCUGAAGCAACAAAUGCCCUGCUUCCAGGAAAAGCCUCUAAGCAUCAGGUAACAUCAAAUCGUACCCCAAACCGACACAGGUGGUCAGGUAGAGAAUACCAAGGCGCUUGAGAGAACUCGGGUGAAGGAACUAGGCAAAAUGGUGCCGUAACUUCGGGAGAAGGCACGCUGAUAUGUAGGUGAAGUCCCUCGCGGAUGGAGCUGAAAUCAGUCGAAGAUACCAGCUGGCUGCAACUGUUUAUUAAAAACACAGCACUGUGCAAACACGAAAGUGGACGUAUACGGUGUGACGCCUGCCCGGUGCCGGAAGGUUAAUUGAUGGGGUCAGCGCAAGCGAAGCUCUUGAUCGAAGCCCCGGUAAACGGCGGCCGUAACUAUAACGGUCCUAAGGUAGCGAAAUUCCUUGUCGGGUAAGUUCCGACCUGCANCGACUUGCUCGUGGAGCUGAAAUCAGUCGAAGAUACCAGCUGGCUGCAACUGUUUAUUAAAAACACAGCACUGUGCAAACACGAAAGUGGACGUAUACGGUGUGACGCCUGCCCGGUGCCGGAAGGUUAAUUGAUGGGGUCAGCGCAAGCGAAGCUCUUGAUCGAAGCCCCGGUAAACGGCGGCCGUAACUAUAACGGUCCUAAGGUAGCGAAAUUCCUUGUCGGGUAAGUUCCGACCUGCACGAAUGGCGUAAUGAUGGCCAGGCUGUCUCCACCCGAGACNAAUUCCUUGUCGGGUAAGUUCCGACCUGCACGAAUGGCGUAAUGAUGGCCAGGCUGUCUCCACCCGAGACUCAGUGAAAUUGA